Long non-coding RNA from Phycodurus eques (leafy seadragon), 188 nucleotides. RefSeq lists it as uncharacterized. The record is from RefSeq and is a predicted model, not a curated record. NCBI's taxonomy places the organism in Eukaryota, Metazoa, Chordata, Actinopteri, Syngnathiformes, Syngnathidae. The transcript has 2 exons.
CAAGAGUACUUAAGACGAUGUCAAUGUAAUUUUAAGUCUUACCACCGGUGAACUGCGUUGACCAAUCACAGAGAUAUGUGGGCCACAAACUUGAUGAGGAGCCUCCCCUCCUCUUCUCCUGCUGGGGCUCCGCUGCAGAAACGGCGCACACGGCGUGUCACGACAGUGCGUCACACUAAACCCACAGA